UGGGGAAUAUUGCACAAUGGGCGCAAGCCUGAUGCAGCCAUGCCGCGUGUGUGAAGAAGGCCUUCGGGUUGUAAAGCACUUUCAGCGAGGAGGAAGGGUGGUGUGUUAAUAGCACAUUGCAUUGACGUUACUCGCAGAAGAAGCACCGGCUAACUCCGUGCCAGCAGCCGCGGUAAUACGGAGGGUGCAAGCGUUAAUCGGAAUUAUUGGGCGUAAAGCGCACGCAGGCGGUUUGUUAAGUCAGAUGUGAAAUCCCCGCGCUUAACGUGGGAACUGCAUUUGAAACUGGCAAGCUAGAGUCUUGUAGAGGGGGGUAGAAUUCCAGGUGUAGCGGUGAAAUGCGUAGAGAUCUGGAGGAAUACCGGUGGCGAAGGCGGCCCCCUGGACAAAGACUGACGCUCAGGUGCGAAAGCGUGGGGAGCAAACA
Molecule: ribosomal RNA, 427 nt
Filed under: uncultured bacterium
Lineage: Bacteria
Description: partial 16S ribosomal RNA
Rfam family: Bacterial small subunit ribosomal RNA
Source: RNAcentral